GCCAUGGUGGCUUAGUGGUUAGCAUGUUUGCCUCGCACCUCCAGGGUUGUGGGUUUAAAUCCCGUCUCUGUCU
Non-coding RNA from Pangasianodon gigas (Mekong giant catfish), 73 nucleotides. Lineage: Eukaryota; Metazoa; Chordata; Actinopteri; Siluriformes; Pangasiidae. The record is from the annotation of a GenBank genome assembly.